UACGGAGGGUGCAAGCGUUAUCCGGAUUCACUGGGUUUAAAGGGUGCGUAGGCGGUUGUUUAAGUCAGUGGUGAAAGCUCGCAGCUUAACUGUGAAACUGCCAUUGAAACUGAAUGACUUGAGUACGAUUGACGUGGGCGGAAUACAUCAUGUAGCGGUGAAAUGCUUAGAUAUGAUGUAGAACACCGAUUGCGAAGGCAGCUCACGAAAUCGCAACUGACGCUGAGGCACGAAAGCGUGGGUAGCGAACAGG
This 253-nucleotide ribosomal RNA is filed under the name uncultured bacterium. RNAcentral describes it as "partial 16S ribosomal RNA". It matches the Rfam family "Bacterial small subunit ribosomal RNA", at positions 524 to 776 of the family's 1533-position model. The record is from RNAcentral.